CCAGCCGAACUUUUCUUAACUAAAUCUAUAUUGAAAUAUAUUUAAGUAGUACUAGUUAACAGAAAUAUGAGAGUAUUAAAAGGAGAACUUAGGUUUUAGCCGAAACCAAAUUUCUCCUCCUCCCUCACGCGCGCGACGGUGAUCGGCGGAACCGCAGAAAAGCUAGGGCUUUGUUCUCCGGCGCCGGCGAAGGCCUUUUUCCAGCCGGUCUUUACAGAUUCGAGGUUCCCUAGUCGAAGAGAGCUCGUGGGCACGAGGAAGGGUUGAAAUCUCGAGGUUUGAAGCUUCACCUGAACCCUAGACCUCCUUCCUCCUCUCGGUUGUAAGUCCAAGCAAACAAGGGAUACAGGUGAUGUGUGAUGCCAGGACUAUGGAAGCCUUGGGACUAGGAAAGAAGUU
Molecule: long non-coding RNA, 399 nt
Organism: Zingiber officinale
Lineage: Eukaryota; Viridiplantae; Streptophyta; Magnoliopsida; Zingiberales; Zingiberaceae
Exons: 4
Source: RefSeq, a predicted model, not a curated record